RNAcentral lists this transfer-messenger RNA (266 nucleotides) under Gallionellaceae bacterium. RNAcentral describes it as "partial transfer-messenger RNA". It matches the Rfam family "transfer-messenger RNA", at positions 1 to 269 of the family's 374-position model. From Rfam's summary of the family: Bacterial tmRNA, also known as 10Sa RNA or SsrA, is named for its dual tRNA and mRNA-like properties. Its role is to liberate the mRNA from a stalled ribosome. To accomplish this part of the tmRNA is used as a reading frame that ends in a translation stop signal. Lineage: Bacteria; Pseudomonadati; Pseudomonadota; Betaproteobacteria; Nitrosomonadales; Gallionellaceae. The record is from RNAcentral.
GGGGGCGACUUGGCUUCGACGUGGGUUGCAAAGCAGCGCAGGGCAUACCGAGGACCCGCCACCUCGUAAAAAGCUGGAAACCAAUAGUCGCAAACGACGAAAAGUACGCUCUGGCCGCUUAACCGGCUGGACCUCACACCCUGCUGUCCGUGGAGGGGCUCAAAGCCGCAAGGCUGCGAUGAGUGAGGUCAUUUACACGGAAUCGUGACGCGCAGUGCUACUUUGCGCGGCAUUAAACUCAAGGUGGCUCGCUUCGCACCAGCCCG